This 65-nucleotide transfer RNA is filed under the name Anoplotermes banksi. RNAcentral's name for it is "tRNA-His". It matches the Rfam family "tRNA". Rfam says of the family: Transfer RNA (tRNA) molecules are approximately 80 nucleotides in length. The record is from RNAcentral. Lineage: Eukaryota; Metazoa; Arthropoda; Insecta; Blattodea; Termitidae.
AUCUAAAUAGUUUAAGGAGAAAAUAUUGGUUUGUGGUGCCAGUGAUGUAGUUUGUAUUUUAGAUU